RNAcentral lists this unclassified non-coding RNA (674 nucleotides) under Hevea brasiliensis (rubber tree). Lineage: Eukaryota; Viridiplantae; Streptophyta; Magnoliopsida; Malpighiales; Euphorbiaceae. The record is from RNAcentral.
GGAAUUUUGAACCAAUUGACAAGAUUUUGGAUGGAUAUGAAGGUGCUUUUGCUUGACGAGGUCUACAUCGUGAAUAUCCUAGGAUACAUAGCAUAUAAUUUUGUAAUAGGUGCAUACUCGUAUUGGGGACCAAAGGCUGGUUAUAACAUAUACCACAUGAACAAUGCAGAUCUGAUGUUUGGAGGUAUUACUAUCAUAUGUGGAAUAUUUGGAACCUUAGCAGGAGGUUUUGCUCUGGAUCGAAUGACUAACACGAUAUCCAAUGCCUUCAAGCUUCUUGCAGUGGCAACAUUUUUUGGAGCAAUAUUUUGCUUUGCUGCCUUUUGUUUUAAGAGCUUGUAUGUAUACAUCGCUCUUUUUGCCAUAGGAGAAUUGUUAGUAUUUGCAACACAGGCCCCGGUAAAUUAUGUCUGUCUGCACUGUGUUAAACCAAGUAUGAGACCAUUAUCUAUGGCUAUGUCCACUGUUUCCAUUCACAUAUUUGGUGAUGUGCCUUCCUCUCCUCUUGUGGGGGUUCUCCAGGAUCACACUAAUAAUUGGAGAGUUACUGCUCUAAUCCUCACAUCGGUUCUGUUUCUGGCGUCUGGAAUAUGGUUUAUAGGGAUCUUUCUUCAUAGUGUUGAUAGAUUUGAUGAAGAAAAUGAGCUUCAAGUUAGUGUUACUGACAGAUCAAA